This 2051-nucleotide long non-coding RNA is filed under the name Homo sapiens (human). RNAcentral describes it as "long non-coding RNA NONHSAT211701.1". Lineage: Eukaryota; Metazoa; Chordata; Mammalia; Primates; Hominidae. The record is from RNAcentral.
GUUUAUCAUUUAUUUUGUAUUUUAAACUAUUUUAAACUAUGACUCAAUAGCUAUUUAUUUGCACGUACUUAAAAAUUAAGUAUAAUAAACACAACUUCAAAUAUAAAUGAAGACUUUCCCUGGCAGCAUUGUCAUAUCAAGAAAUCCAGAUGGACAAAGUUGUAUCCAUUUGGAAGGAUUUGAGCCUCCAGACUAGUCUAGAAGUAAGGAUCCUUUAGGCAAUAAGUAUCUUAUUUCUACUUUCUAAGUCGAUUUUUGAGAAAUUAUCAAUAGCUUUUAAAGAUGAUUGUCUCUCCUCCCUGCCCAACUUAUUCACUCACUCAGCCUACAUUGCACCUUGUGAACUCCACUGAGUUGACUUUUAACUUUAUCAUUAUAUUAAACAGUCAUGAGAUUUAGGUUUGAGGCCUUUUUCCUUUUUAAUGAAAUGAUAUGAUAAUGAUUAAAAUUUAUCAUUAUGGUAAUCAUCAUCAAGAUAAUGAUAAAUCUUGAAAUAUUUAAUCUUCAGUAAUUUCAUCAGGCCAUGAAUGUUAUUUUGCUUAAUAGAUGGCUAUGUCAAUUAAUGUAUAUAGAACACAAUACUUGUCUGAGACAUUUCUUCUUCUUUAUAUGUGAAAUUGACAUAGCUGAGGUAGUUUUUGCCAUGUUGUUUAUUAUUUUUUCAUGUGGCACCCAAGCUUAUAUCACUAUACAGUCUAUACUGAGAAGCCAUGGUUAAGGUUAUUCUACAGUUGCUAAUGAAGUUCUGUUUCAGAAUUUGUGAUAUGUUGGACAUGUACGGUUGGGUAGAAUUUUCUUUUUAUUCUCCAAGGGAAACAAAAGGACUUGCCAAACAAGUGAACAUUAUGCAUUAUGUUACAGAGGAAAAUAUUCUCUUAAGAAAAGCAGAAGCUUUCAACUUUUGAUGAAUUUUCCAUGAAUCUAAAUUACAUCUUCACUAUAAACCACAUAAUUUUAGUCUUUGACAGGUACUGUUCAGCUCAUAUUGGUAUUUUGCCAAACUAAUUUUAAAUUAUUUUCUACCCAGUAAGGUAAAAUAUCUGUUUUUUGGUUAUGCUUGUUGAAUGUAAAAAAAUAUCUUUUAAAAACAGUCAAAUAUUCAGGUUGUAUGGUAGUUUGAGUAGGCUUUCUCCAAUUAAUUUCAUUUCACAGGAUUUUUUUGGACUACUUAAUUCUUUUGUGGGUAGAAGGAGAUGGCAGAAAAGAAGUGAUACACUGAGGAGGGUAAUUAUCAGAGGUUUUCGGGAAGUAUUUUUACCUAAGACAACCAAAUUUUUUUUAAUCAAGUGAUAAGAUAUGAGAAUGGGAAGCAUAUGUGUAAUUUUUCUAGACAUUUGAUUUCCCUCCACAUGAUUAUGCAGAGCACCUAAGAAAUCGAUGACCUGUGAUUCCUUCUUUUGAAAAUUACCUCCUACUCUCAUGCAUAUGGUAAUAGGGGAGGCAGGAGAAGUUUGGCAGAGUGUCUGUGCCUCUUCUCAUAGUUUCUCAAUCCAAAGGUGGGUCUUGGACUUAAGUCUGGUUGUUCAGAAUCCUGUCUCAGGAUUUUUGGAAUGGGAAACCAAAUAUAAUAUAAUAUAAUAUAAUAUAAUAUAAUAUAAUAUAAUAUAAUAUAAUAUAUAUUUAAUAUGUAUUAAAUAUAUAUAUAUACUCCAAUCACUCUCUCAGGCCAUGGCCUCUUGCAAUAAGGAACUAUCCAUCUAUGACUCCUGCUGUAGAGGGUUUCCUGGGAGCAUGUUUUUUAUUAUGUGACUCAGCUCCAGGUACAGAACCAAUUAGACUAGGAAUGGGCCCCAGAACAGUUCAUGUAUAUGCUUAAUGAGGCUGGCACAAAACAAUAAAGUUUGUUAAAAAGACUCUCUUUCAAGAACUUAGGAUAUUAACUACUGAUAGAAAGCGUCAUUUAGAAAUGACUUAGGAUAUUAACUACUGAUAGAAAGCGUCAUUUAGAAAUGGAAGUUGAACUGAAAUGUCUCAUACAGAGAAGAGUUAGAGAGGUCAUGAUGGUCAUGUACAAGGUAAAAUUAUAUAGAGCCUAGGUGCGGUGGCUCACA